RNAcentral lists this ribosomal RNA (297 nucleotides) under Floronia bucculenta. Its description in RNAcentral is "partial 28S ribosomal RNA". It matches the Rfam family "Eukaryotic large subunit ribosomal RNA", at positions 681 to 946 of the family's 3401-position model. The record is from RNAcentral. Lineage: Eukaryota; Metazoa; Arthropoda; Arachnida; Araneae; Linyphiidae.
UGUGUGCGAGUCAUGGGUCUCGAAUAAGCCCAGAGGCGCAAUGAAAGCGAAGGCCUGGAGGACUCCGGCCGUGUCGGGAUCCCCGCUCCACCGCGUGCGGGGCGCACCGACGACCCGCCCCGAUCCACUCGUGGAUGAGGCGGAGUCCGAGCGCACACGUUCUGACCCGAAAGAUGGUGAACUAUGCCUGGACAGGACGAGGCCAGAGGAAACUCUGGUGGAGGUCCGUAGCGAUUCUGACGUGCAAAUCGAUCGUCAGAUCUGGGUCUAGUGGCGAAAGACUAAUCGAACCAUCUA